UAGGGAAUAUUAGUAAUGGGCGAAAGCCUGAACUAGCAACGCCGCGUGUGCGAAGAAGGCCUUCGGGUUGUAAAGCACUUUUUGAGAGGAUGAGGAAGGACGGUACUCUCAGAAUAAGUCUCGGCUAACUACGCGCCAGCAGCCGCGGUAACACGUAGGAGGCGAACGUUAUCCGGAUUUACUGGGCGUAAAGCGCGUGUAGGUGGUUUGGUAAGUAGGGCGUGAAAGCUCCUGGCUCAACUGGGAGAGGCCGUUCUAAACUGCCGAACUAGAGGAUGGUAGAGGGAGGUGGAAUUCCGGGUGUAGCGGUGGAAUGCGCAGAUAUCCGGAGGAACACCAGUGGCGAAGGCGGCCUCCUGGACCACUCCUGACACUCAGACGCGAAAGCUAGGGUAGCAAACGG
Molecule: ribosomal RNA, 403 nt
Filed under: uncultured bacterium
Lineage: Bacteria
Description: bacterial SSU rRNA
Rfam family: Bacterial small subunit ribosomal RNA
Source: RNAcentral